CAGGGCGUGCGUGAAUGCAGCGGGGCUCUUUCAGAGCUGUCACAAAUCUGGCGAUCAACACAUCACCGAGCGCAUCAGCGGUGCUCAGGCACCUAAACGGGCUCUCCUGGUUGCAGGAUCCCAAAUUUACCCCGUGGCUACCUGCGAGCCAGACCCCCCCCAGCACCCCCACCCCCGGGGACUCACGUUUGUAGCUGGCGGCCCAGGGCUGGUAGCCGUAGUAGCCGGUGAUGCGCAGGAUCCGCUCCUCGAUGGAGGUGAGCCCCACGGAGGCGCUGGUGAGGUCCUCCACGGAGCGGGACCACUUGAGGUCCUCCUUGAUGGCCUCGUCCACCACCAGGCGUUUGGCAGCACGAUGGAGCGCCCUGCCAGGCACACACACCAAUGCACGAAGGUGACCUGGGCUAAGCUACUGUCAUUUCAAGGUGCAAAUGGAAUGAUGGAUGACCAUUAAUAUUUUCUCCUGUCAUGCAACAACAGACCUCAAAAGGACUGUAGGAGGUGUCAAAGACAGAAAAUACAGAACAGCAGAUCUCUUCAGUGUCCUGUAUUUUGAGAAAUGCCAGAGGCAUAAAUCCCAAAGCCAAUCUGUGCUCUACAUAUAGUUGGUAUCUGCCAUGAUGUUGUGCCAUUUCAAGAAAUUUAUACCAGAAAUAAAGGACUACAAAACAAGGAUUAAGGAAAGACUAAUUACUGGUCUUGCAAGUUUUCUGCAUUUGUCUAUCGUUUCUACUUUGUCCUUUUCACUUCACUGACUGUAGUAUGAGUUUGUCUGAAAGGAGAGUCAAACAAUCUGGGAAUAAGGAAAAGGGGGAAAACAUGGCAACAGCUAUCUACCCUGGCUAACCCAGGAAGACCAACAAAAGAAAUAAUAGAAAAACAGCCAUGAAGAUUUAGGGGAGAGAAUGAAAGACUCUGGACAGAACAAGAAAGAAAACCUUUAAUGGAUUUGUGCUCAGGGAAGGCUUUAAUGAAUCAGAACACAACAUUCAUACUGCAUUUAAAGUUUCUUAUCUGGAAAAUGUGCUAGCCCCAAGAAAAAUCUGAUAAUUCUCACCCUUCAGAUAAGCUUUUGUUUUUCUAGUUUUGAAGGGUUUUUUUUAAAGUUGUCAGUUUUUGAUGCAGAAAAUGGGUUGCUAGGCUUGGAUUGCACAGCUUUCUUGGCAAGGUAAUUUCUGAAGAGAAUAGAACACCUGGAGACUGAUUUGACAGGCAAUUUCUGUUGUAUAAAAUUAAUGGCAGCUGUUUGAAGCUGCUCAUGUGUCUGAAACACUAAGAAUCCCAUAGCUGAAUUUUUGGUCUAGCACAGUAUGAGGCGUAGCCACUUCCAUAUACGCAUUUUGAAUCUAGUUCAUAAGUUAACCACACAUUUUUUCCCAGUUCUUCAGGAAAUAAUUUUGGAAGCUACUACACAUUCUGCUACACCAACCCAGACCCCAGUUCAACCGCAUUUCUCUACAAUAUACAGAAAGGUGGUUUCUCUUACACUUUAUCACCUACAGUGGUUAUAUUUCAUCAUAUCAUAGCUAAUGACAGUGUCCCACUGCACCUU
Molecule: long non-coding RNA, 1552 nt
Organism: Oxyura jamaicensis (ruddy duck)
Lineage: Eukaryota; Metazoa; Chordata; Aves; Anseriformes; Anatidae
Exons: 4
Source: RefSeq, a predicted model, not a curated record